UCCUUUCAAAAAUAAAAUAUGAAAUAUUGUGUAAUGUGGAAAUAAAGAGAAAAGACUCUGAAAUUCUCUGUUUCCAACAAAAGUUUAGUAACACAUUGCAAGACAAAAUAAGAUCCACUAUAUUAAGAAGUAAAGUUCAUGCAUACACCAAAAUCCAUCCAAAUAAAAUCAAAAAUUCUUUGAAUUUUUAGUAUACCACAUACACCACUAGCACGCAAAUAACUUUAACUAAUUCCUCUAAGCUGCAAAAUAUCUCAACUAAUCAGGAUGACCUCCAACUCACAAACCUCCAAUCUGACCAAAGAAUCACCGCCGGCCCCAAUAUCAAUCACCUCUUCUAUCCCGGUGGGAUCAUCUUUGGAAUUCUUCCCUCCUGUACUAGAGGGGUCAUCUUUAGUCUCUUCACAUAUACACGCAGCAGGGUUGGCAUAGAAUUUUCCUUUUGUAUGGAAACAUGGAAAGAGCGCAUUGAGGGCUUGUAUGGAAAUAUGGAAUCAACUCAUCUUUGCUUGCGAACUACUCCCUCCGUCCCAUAAUGUAAGAUGUUUUUUCAUACUAGUGUAGUGUCAAAAGGCGUCUUACAUUAUGGGACGGAGGGAAUAUCUAAGUAUUGAGAUGUGAAACUAUUCAUACAUGUAAGUUUUGCAUCGCAUGCAAACGACACCUUGCUCUCUCCUCUCCUUUCCUCCGCCCCAUAGUAACACCCUAAAGGCAAGCAUAUCACUUUCAAAUCUGCCAUAAAGCCAUGGAACACAUGUUGAUAAAAAAUAAAAGUAUAAAGAUGCAUGCUGUAAUAUUUUACAAACAAAAUAUUAUUUCACUUUCUUCUUUUCUUUUGAUUAAUUAGCCAAUUAGCCUUCAUAAAUUUGGUGCUCCAUUAUAUUUUAGAUAAAGAUAAGAGAACUCACUGGCUCUGAAAGGCAAUUAAAUGAUAAUCACUAAAUUGUACUGGCAUUUUCUGUACUUGGAUAAAUAAAAUUGGGAUAAUUGUUUCUGUGCCCUUAGUUGGGUCACCCUCAACUGAUUUGCCCCUAAUUUUGGAAAACACGCGGUCUUGCCCAGCUUUGACCGCUCCCCUUGCAUUUUUGCCCUUCCGGCACGUCUCCGUCCAGUCAGCGCCGUUUGACCGCAAACGACGCAUUACUUUGGACACCGCUUGCCCCCGUGCUCACUCACACCCCGUGCUCACUCACACUCUCUCAUUCCCUACUCUUGCUCCCUCUUUUUCCCUCUGACGAACCGUAAAUUGCGGCGACGAGCAGCAGACGGCCAGAUCCAUUGCAAGGUGAUGGGGGAGAGUGGAGAAAGCGUCGGCGGUGGCCUCUUCGGUGGUAGGAACAGCACACCUCCAUUGCAGCGCGGAGAAGGCGGCGGAGGCACCAACGACGAUAAGGGAAGCUCCUGUGGCGGAUCUGCACCAACGGCGAGAAGCGGUGGCGGAUCUGCACCAAUGGCGACAAGCGGGGGUGGAUCUGCACGGCAAAUUCCCCCAGGGUUAGUAUUGGACCUGAUUUGCUCGGUUUUUUCAUAGGAGAUUUACUUGGAUUUAGGGUUUAGUCUAAAGUUUGUGCGUUUUAUCACUGGAUAUUGUUCCCCCAUAGGAUGGAUCCAGCUACAGUGUUCUUUCUUUCAGUUCGAAUGGAGACCACUGUUCUAGUUUCUGCUGGUACAAAAGGAAAAGAUUGUGGAUUCACAUUUCCUUUAGUUGUGGACAACACUAGUUCAUAUACUAAUUUUAGGGCUGCCAUUUGUGCCAUGUAUCCAUGGGGAUUGUUUGAUGCUGUGGAGAUCAGAUAUUGGGAUAGUUCCAAACUUUGUUGGGUCCCUGUGCAGUGUGAUGCAGAGUUAGGUCUGAUGUUUGCAAGUAAUGCAGCAACUAUGUCAUGCAAUUUGGAAAUCAUAGUUAUACAAAGAACUAGAGGCCAGAGAUGUGUGAACACAUCUAGUUCCAGGCCAUCUGGAUCCAGAACUAGGGCUAGCAGUAGAACACCAAGUGCUCCUAGAACACCAAGUGCUUAUGCAACUGCAAGUGUCAAUGAAAGUCAAGAAAACCAAAAGAAGCCACUUGAUCCUGUUGUGGAGGAGGCAUUGCCUGAUGCACCUGGUGUGGAGGAUGAGGUUCUAUAUCCUGGAUAUGUCCAGCACAAUAAUGAUGAAGGAGAUGCAGCAGAUAAAGAGUACAUUCCUGCAGAAUUUUCAGAUGCAGAUGAUGAUGAGAAGCAAGAGGAUGUUGAGAUGGGAGUUUUUGAAGAUGCAGAAGAGGACAAACCUGUAAAGAUGUAUGACAGGGAAAAUCCAUGUAUUGAUGAAGGUGUGGUAUUCUCUAGUGCAGUUGACUGCAGAAAUGCAGUUGCAAGCUUCUCAAUCAAGCCUGAAACUGAGUUCCUUACUCUGAAAAGUGAUCCAACAAGGUUUACUGUCAAAUGUGCUUAUGAGAGAUGCAAGUGGAGACUGCAUGCCUCUUUAAUGAGGAAGAGCACAUUGUUUCAGGUAUUGUAUUUUUGUCCUUUUGUUUUAGUUUAUUUUCAGGCAUUGCAUUUUCUGUGUUUUAGUUUAUUUGCAGGUAUUGCAUUUUCUGUACUAAUCUCAUUGUUUUUUUGGUUUGUUUCAGAUUAAAGUCAACCCAUAUAAGCAUACAUGUCCUAGUGUGAAUAGAUCUCAGAGAUUGAGAGCUGCAAAAAGAAGAUGGAUAGCAGAUGCUUCUAUGGCAUGGAUCAGAGCAAAUCCAGGAAUUGGUACUAAAGAAAUUCAGAGCAAGUUGUUAGAGAAAUAUGGUGUGGAGGUGCCAUAUGACAGAUGCUACCAUGGCAAAGAGAUUGCACUUGACAAACUAUAUGGAAAGUAUAGUGAUAGCUUUCAGCUAUUAUAUACUUUCAAAGCUGAAGUAGAGAGGGCAUCACCAGGCAGUAUUAUGGAAAUUGAGAAGCACACAGUUGAGUACAAGUUUAAUAACAAGAAGUUCUACAAGGAGUGCUUUAGAAGGGUGUUUGUGUGCUUCAAAGCAUGUCAAAAAGGUUUUCUGGAGGGGUGUAGGCCAUACCUAGCUGUAGAUGCUACUACAUUGACUGGUAGGUUCAAAGGGCAACUUGUGGCAGCAUGUGCCCUAGAUGGACACAACUAGUUGUUUCCUGUUGCAUAUGGUGUUUUGGAAGGGGAGUCAAUUGAGAGUUGGACUUGGUUUUUUAGCAACCUAAAGAAAGUAAUAGGUCAUCCAGAAGGUUUAGUGAUACAUACUGAUGCUUGCAAGGGAUUGGAAACUGCUGUUGAGGAUGUAUACCCUGGAGUGGAGCACAGAGAGUGCAUGAGGCACUUGGCCCAAAAUUUCAGUAAGAAAUUCAAGGGGAAGUUUUAUGAUGAUAAUUUGUGUCCAUGCUCACUAACUUGUAGCAUCAAGAAACACAACUAUCACUUGAACCAGUUGAAAAGCAAGCCUAAAGUAAAGGAAUAUCUGGUGGAACACCACACAAAAAUAUGGGCAAGAGCUGAUUUCAAUGAGAUGAGCAAAGUUAACUAUGUCAAUAACAACCUAGCUGAGUCAUUCAACUCCAGAAUCAAAAAAUACAAGAGCCUGCACAUAGUUGAUCUGCUAGACAAGAUAAGGCAGUAUAUCAUGGAGAAAUUUGACUUAAGAAACAUAAUUGCCUCUGACCAUUUCAUUGGGCACUACAUCAUACCAGCAGUAAUGAAGGUGUUAAUGGAGAAAACAAAAGGUUUGCAAAUGAGUAUAGUGAGGAGAAGCCCAACAGAGGCAGAGGUGACUGCUACUGACAGUGAGAAGAGAGAAUGGAGGUACCCUGUUGACUUAGAGCACUGGUCUUGCAGUUGCAGACAAUGGCAGAUCACUGGUAAACCAUGCAUCCAUGCACUUUUCUUUAUCACUGCUCUAAGAGGUGAAGCAAGUGGAAUAGAUCAAUAUGUCCACAAAUAUUACUCAGUUGACAUGUUCAGAGCUACUUAUGCUGAGAACCUACCAGCUCUAGAAGGCAAGCAACAAUGGGACAUUAUAGAUCCUGGAUUCAAAUUGUGUGCUCAUGUUCAACACAGAGCUCCAGGUAGACCAAGAAAGCAAAGGAUUAGAAGUAGCACUGAAGGAAAAGGCCUUGGUCCUAGGAAGAACAAGUGCGAAAGGUGUGGGAGAUGUGGACACAAAGCCAAGGGAUGCAAACAAUCUGUUGAUCCAGCCUUUGGAGAAGAUGAACAUUGGGGAGCAGACAAUGCAGAUGAUCAUCCUACAGCCAAUGAACCAGCAGAAGCAGAAAUACAAGAGGAGGAGGAGGAGGAGGAGGAUGAGACAGCACCUGAUGUUCUGCAGCAGCAGAUGCCACCACCAAAGGAGCCCUCACAUGAUGCAUCUACAUGAGCUAGUUGUGCAGUCAGGUAUAAGAUCUUGGCUUACAAAUUCUUACAUGUUUUGAUCUUACUGCUUUCUUUAUAAAAUCUUUCAAAUUGUGAUAUGCUUCCACUUGUUUUAGCCCUAGGAAAAAUUAUAAAAGGGCAGCAGCAAGAGGAGCUUCUCCCAGGUGUGUCAAGCAGAAAGCAGUUGUGGAACAGGAGCAAGAAAGCAGUGUUCAAAGCAAAGGUUUCUCUCCAAAAAGAGCAGCAGCAAUUGAAGCUCCAAACCCAUCAAAGAACACUAGAAGCAAGGCAAUGCUAGCUCCAAACCCAGCCAAGAACACCAGGAGCAAGAAACUUAAGUUCUAGUGCUAUGUUAUCUUGUUGUUAUGCACUUAAGUUCUAGUACUAAGUGUGCUUAAAUGCACUAUGAAGUUGCUAUAUUUGGUACAAUGUCAGUUUGUUGAAUUUGGUACAAUGUCAGUUUGUUCUAUUUGGUACAAUGUCAAUUUGUUGAAUAUGUGCUCUAUUUGGUACAAUUGGCACCUGAUUGAAUAUGUGCUCUAUUUGGUAAAAUAUGUGCUCUUUUUGGUACAAUUGGCACUACAUAUGGAAUAAAUAUGUAUUUGGUACAGUGUCACAAGCAUCAGUAGUUCAUAAUGAUCUUCAAAUUUAGCAUAUAAAAGUGCAUCAUAAAUAACAUUCAACACAUCUCUCUCACACACACUUUCUUCAACAACUGCUAGAAACUAGAACACAAAAAACACAGCAACACACAUUCCUACAAACAACAAUGCCAGAACUAGCAGCAUCUCAUCUCUCUCUCACACUGUCUUCUUCAAAGCUAGAUUUUUCUUUGACAGCUCCAUGUUUUGCUUCUGCAUUUUGUGGCUUCUGAUCCAACUUUGUUCUAGCUCUGCGUGCAGGUCUUCAAAAGCAAGGGCAGCAUGCAAUGGAGGAGGAGGAUCAACCCAAACGACCCAGUGACACUCAUGUGAUAACUGCUUGAACAUCAAAUUAACAAAACAUUAGAGACUGCAUAAACACCAUCUUAAACAUGGUAUAAUUCACAAGAUCUUACAUCUAGAGGACACCCUAAAAAAUGGCGGCCAGUGUUAGCUCCUCCCCACGUGACACGCCGGGCAGGAACAAGGCCAUGACCAGGGCAACGAUGCUUUGAUAAAAGCUCCAAUCCGCAAUAACUUUCAUCUAGAAGAUAGAACUCGGAGACAUGCUUCACAAUCCCGACCCCAUCAACCUAAAUCAGAAAUUUCCCCAAUUAUCACAAACCCUAGAACGCAUUGGGGGGGAGGAAGAAGCAUUGUCGGAGUUUUACUUACCUCUCCGACCACCGGCGAGAAGAUGGAAGAGCCCGAGCUUGCCAUGCGUCGCCGCUCCUUGCUCUACCACGCCACGCCUUGCCUCCCACUCCUUUUUCCUCGCCGGCGUUCUCGCUCUCCUAUGUUUUCUUGCGCUAGCACAUUUCGGAUGAAGGGGUAUCAGGUAUAGCACCGACAGGGGCAAUGUCCAAAGUAACGCGUCAUUUGCGGUCAAACGGCACUGACUGGACGGAGAGGUGCCGGAAGGGCAAAAACGCAAGGGGAGCAGUCAAAGCUGGGCAAGACCGCGUGUUUUCCAAAAUUAGGGGCAAAUCAGUCGAGGGUGACCCAACUAAGGGUAUAAAUUCAAUUCUCCCAAUAAAAUUCAUGCUUCAUUCCUUCCAGAAGAAUGAAGUGGGGAAUAUCCUCAACUAGAAAUGUCAAAGCAAUGUUUCUCAGUGGGAAAAAAUUGGGGUGCUAAUAAAAAACAAUAGACGGCCACAAGCAACAUACGAGAAGAAACUAAAUACUGAGACAGAGUCCAUGUCUCUUCUAUUUUUCGAUGAACUAAUAAGUCAUAUCAUGGUAUGAAGUGAGUCAUGCACAACCACAUCAGCCAUGCUACAUUUUCCAAUGAAAUGUCAGUUUUGUCCACAGAUACAAACUGCGCAAGUUGCAUGCAGCCUUCUACAAAUUACUUGCAAAUGUACAAGGGUAACUUACUUUUUAUCCUUGUUAGCUUAAAAAGGACACCACAGCUUCACUAUGACUCUCAUACAAGCUAAGCUUCACAACAAUUUCUCCAACAGCAUAGUAUGUGUCACCUCAGCAGCUUGGAUAUCUAAUGAGGACAGAAAGGAAGCAUCAGGCAACCAAAACAAAAGAAUGACACCUCUGCAGCUUCAGAAUUAAUUAGUACCAAUUAAACAAAGACAUAGAGCAUCAUGCCUACCUUUUGUUCUAGAUGGUAUGCCCCUUUUUGACUAUAUAUAUGCUAGCUAGCUUUUGCCGGUCUCAAAAAGAAGCAUCAAGCAUUCAGGCAGUCACAUGCAUAUUUCUCAUAAAUUGUGGAGCAUUAAUGUUUCUGUAUCUUUUGAUACAUAUACAUGGAGUUUAAUUUUCUCCUGUUAUCAAAUACGCAGUGAAAAACUACCGACGUACAACUACUAAUUAUAUGAGAAAAUCAUCAUCCAACCUAAUAGCUACAAAUUACAAGUAAGCAAUCCAUCAUGUUUAAUUAAACACAGGUAGACAUGUCAUCAUACUUGAUUAACCCUAUUUAAUUUGUUUCUCCCAUGUAGCAAGUAGAGAGCCUACACUGGAAUAGGGGUUCUCUCCUAAAAAAUGAUGCAGCCGCCAUUAGGAAAGAGGAACAACUAAUUAAGCACCCUCCAAUUAAAUUUCACUUUAUCUUCUUUCCAUGAGAAAUUAAUUGAUUAAAGAGGGACGAUUAAUUUAUUAGUCCAGUUCAUCAAAAGUCAGUAAGACUAAAAGAAAGGAAGGGACGAUUAAUCUAAAGCAGAGAAGAGACAGAGCUACCACCUUUGGCUGGAUCAAAGAAGAUAACCUUGUGUUUUCCUCCUCAGGAGCCUUGUGCCACUUCUCUUUUAUUUGAUAAGAAUCCCAUUGCCACCCAGCUUCUUCUAAUCUCCCUCGUCAGCAGUUCCUUUCAGCAUCCCGUUGUCCAGAGUCAAGCUAAUUAAAUUUCUAUCAAUCUCAGAGCUUAGAAAGCAUAAAUGUGCAGACGCCUAAAUAAAGAGACGGAGGAGGAACUUUUACAAUCCAAUUUGUAAGCAUCAAUCUCCAAGAAGGAAGAAAUCAAGGGAGAACCAGACCAAGGAGAUUUUUUUACUAGGUUAGAGAGAGAGUAGACCAUACGGAGGAUGGCAGUCACCGCUGUCUUCUUGUCGUUGGCGCCUUCUCCGACAGAGGAGGGCUGGAUUUGCAGUGGCCGGCGCCGCCGCAGCCCAAAUCGCCGUCCCCGC
RNAcentral lists this long non-coding RNA (7636 nucleotides) under Triticum aestivum (bread wheat). Its description in RNAcentral is "long non-coding RNA (TAES_LNC020148)". Lineage: Eukaryota; Viridiplantae; Streptophyta; Magnoliopsida; Poales; Poaceae. The record is from RNAcentral.